AGAAAUGCGGCGUGGAACCCGGGGGACUGGGGUGGUGAGGAAGGCGGAGGAGGUGCGUCUGAGGCCGUCCGGCCGCCCGCUUCCCCUCUAGUCAGCCCGGAGGAGCUCCCCCCACCCCCAGCCCGGGCUGCGGUGCCGGAGAAGAGAGAGGAGGCUGCGUUAGGCGGCUGUUUUCCAGUUCACUUUUGCAGACCAAGGCAGAGAAGAAGAGCACCAGCUCCGCUGCCCCUCUUGGCUGCGGCGCACUCAGCCCCAAGCCCCGCGUGCGCUCUGUCUCGGAUACCGAGCCGGCCAAAGUGUCCGGAAACGCGCAGAGCGCUCGGAGCCUGUCCCGCAGCUGUGCGACGCGCGUCUCGAGUUGGCCGCUGCCGCCCCGCCCUCGCGCUCCUUCAGCCCCGCGGGCGGAGAAGCCGGCCCGCCCGCCGGCGCGGAGCCGGGGAACUUGAACUGGCUCCAGCGGCCGCUCUGCCGAGAUCCUGCUCCAGGCCCGGGGGUGCUCCGGCUCGGGGUGGAGGGCACGCCCGGGAAGUGGAUUUAGCAAACACACCUUUGAACAGAUCCAGGAGACCAGAAAACCUUACCACCCACAUCUACUCUUCAUAAUCAAGUCAUUGGAUGAAGAUAGGCAGACUCAAGAGAAGAGACAGAAGCCUACAGCACUGCAACCAACUGGCCAGGAUGCAGAGAUUUCAACAGGAAACAGGACCUUUAUGAAUGAAGCACAUUAUUUAUCUCAGUGUGGGGUAAGAAGAGAGAAAAUGAGCUGCUGGAGAAGGGACUGAGGUUCACCUUAGGAAGAACAUCCUGUCAAUAACAUCGAAGCUCUGGAGAAUCUCAUGGAAGGAGCUUCAGGGUUUUGGUCAACAUUCAUUCUACCAACAUUUACUGAGGACCUUCUGGGCAUUUCUUGGUUUGUGUCUAAUUCAGUCACAGAGCUAAAUCAGGAAGAUUUCACUCAAAUGCUUCUCUGGAGGGUUUCCCUAACUUGAAGUAUUGCUAUCUCUUUUUUCCCAACUUUUCUUCUUAUUCUCUGCCACCUAUUAAGGUUCACAGGGC
Molecule: non-coding RNA, 1056 nt
Organism: Kogia breviceps (pygmy sperm whale)
Lineage: Eukaryota; Metazoa; Chordata; Mammalia; Artiodactyla; Physeteridae
Source: RefSeq, a predicted model, not a curated record